Molecule: ribosomal RNA, 481 nt
Filed under: uncultured bacterium
Lineage: Bacteria
Description: partial 16S ribosomal RNA
Rfam family: Bacterial small subunit ribosomal RNA
Source: RNAcentral
GAUGAACGCUGGCGGCGUGCCUAACACAUGCAAGUCGAACGGAGAUUACGGACGGAAGUUCUCGGAUGGAAGCCUGUAAUUCUUAGUGGCGGACGGGUGAGUAACGCGUGGGCAACCUGCCCUAUACAGGGGGAUAGCAGCUGGAAACGGCUGGUAAGACCGCAUAAGUCGGUUAAAUCGCAUGAUUUGAUUGGGAAAUGAGCAAUCAGGUAUAGGAUGGGCCCGCGUCCGAUUAGCCAGUUGGCAGGGUACAAGGCUACCAGAGCGACGAUCGGUAGACGGACUGAGAGGUCGGACGGCCACAUUGGGACGGAGACACGGCCGGAACUCCUACGGGAGGCAGCAGUGGGGGAUAUUGCACAAUGGAGGGAACUAUGAUGCAGCGACGCCGCGUGAGUGAAGAAGUAAUUCGGUAUGUAAAGCUCUAUCAGCAGGGAAGAUGAUGACGGUACCUAACUAAGAAGCCCCGGCUAACUACGUG